Molecule: long non-coding RNA, 884 nt
Organism: Nematostella vectensis (starlet sea anemone)
Lineage: Eukaryota; Metazoa; Cnidaria; Anthozoa; Actiniaria; Edwardsiidae
Exons: 2
Source: RefSeq, a predicted model, not a curated record
AUAGCUACCUCAUAGCGCGCGUGCUGAUCGACCACAACAGAUCGACAGCUAUUUAUAGUUGCGAAGGCUAAACGCAGAUCUUUACCCCUUCAAAUUAGAGGGUUGUUCUGAAGUUUACGAAAAGAAGUAGUUCAAUACUUCUAUUUUUCUUAUUCACUAUGGUAUGACUGAUAAUCAACGCUGGAAGCUAUGUUGCCAACAAGAUCUCAAACUUGUUUUCUCGAAAGCCACCAAAAUCUAAGCUUGAAAACAAUGAGAUCCCAGACAGCGACCCAGCGCCAGCACCAGCCUAUCAGUGUCCUCUGAGCAAAAAAUCAAGCUAUGAACAACUUGACAAACCUGACAACCAUCAAGACCAAGGAAACAAUGAUGCUGUACAUCAACGUAAACAUAAUGGCAGUUACUUGCCUCUAGGAGAACAGUAAAUGCUGGUGCAAGAAUUAAAAUACUUCAUGGAGAAUGUUAUGGGACAUUAAUGUUUGGUACAAAGGAUACUAGAGAGAUAUUAUGAAGGCCUGUACUAAAAUCCACUAUUUUUAGGGGUGUGUACAGGUCAGAUGAAAGUAGUCUUCUUGUUUCCUUUAGCAAAUCUCAUUAAAUCCAAUAAACAGCAACUCAACAUGCACUAAAACUGUACUAUAUUAGUUUUAAGACCAAUGUAUUGAAUCAUUGUAAAAAAUCUAAUUAAGACAUUAUGCCAUCAAGCAAAACAUACACCUUUUGUAAAUUACAGUGUAAGUCAUAAUUAGUGGCAAGUAUAAUAUAAUUUGACAACAAACCUGCUUAAUUGUGCCUUACCUUAGUCUUUCAAUUAAGGUAAGGCACAAUUAAUAUUUUUGCAACUUUCUAUUGCAAAUGGAAUGAUUAAACAAUUACAAUGAUCA